GACUCCUCCCCGUUCAUCCAGCUUGUGAGCUGGUCGACGCCAAACCUGAACGCCGCGGCAAUCACCGCACUUAUGAACCGGUGGACGCCGGAGACGCACACUUUCCACCUCCGGACCGGGGAGAUGACCGUGACACUUCAGGAUGUUUCGAUGAUCCUUGGACUUCCUAUCGAGGGGAAGCCUAUGUGUAUGAGCACAGAUUUUGAUGGGUGGCGCAAGCAGAUGGAGGCCCUUAUUGGUAUGGCUUCUAUGGAGGGUGAAAUCACGAGUAAAGAGAGAGUCCCAGCCGGCGCUACUUAUAUAUGUGGAUCGUACAGAACUUUACGCACUACCCUGUCCCAGAUACUAAUGAUGUGA
This 357-nucleotide ribosomal RNA is filed under the name Triticum aestivum (bread wheat). Its description in RNAcentral is "partial small subunit ribosomal RNA". The record is from RNAcentral. Lineage: Eukaryota; Viridiplantae; Streptophyta; Magnoliopsida; Poales; Poaceae.